GAUGAACGCUGGCGGUGUGCCUAAUACAUGCAAGUCGAGCGAACAGACGAGGAGCUUACUCCUCUGACGUUAGCGGCGGACGGGUGAGUAACACGUGGAUAACCUACCUAUAAGACUGGGAUAACUUCGGGAAACCGGAGCUAAUACCGGAUAACAUGUUGAACCGCAUGGUUCAACAGUGAAAGACGGUCUUGCUGUCACUUAUAGAUGGAUCCGCGUCGCAUUAGCUAGUUGGUAAGGUAACGGCUUACCAAGGCAACGAUGCGUAGCCGACCUGAGAGGGUGAUCGGCCACACUGGAACUGAGACACGGUCCAGACUCCUACGGGAGGCAGCAGUAGGGAAUCUUCCGCAAUGGGCGAAAGCCUGACGGAGCAACGCCGCGUGAGUGAAGAAGGUCUUCGGAUCGUAAAACUCUGUUAUUAGGGAAGGACAAAUGUGUAAGUAACUAUGCACGUCUUGACGGUACCUAAUCAGAAAGCCACGGCUAACUACGUG
RNAcentral lists this ribosomal RNA (497 nucleotides) under uncultured bacterium. RNAcentral's name for it is "partial 16S ribosomal RNA". It matches the Rfam family "Bacterial small subunit ribosomal RNA", at positions 28 to 507 of the family's 1533-position model. The record is from RNAcentral.